This 281-nucleotide unclassified non-coding RNA is filed under the name Helotiales sp. Its description in RNAcentral is "partial contains 5.8S ribosomal RNA, internal transcribed spacer 2, and large subunit ribosomal RNA". The stretch from base 1 to 71 matches the Rfam family "5.8S ribosomal RNA", at positions 84 to 154 of the family's 154-position model. The record is from RNAcentral. Lineage: Eukaryota; Fungi; Ascomycota; Leotiomycetes; Helotiales.
GUGAAUCAUCGAAUCUUUGAACGCACAUUGCGCCCCUUGGUAUUCCGGGGGGCAUGCCUGUUCGAGCGUCAUUGCAACCCUCAAGCCUGGCUUGGUAUUGGGCUUCGCCACUAACCUGGCGGGCCUUAAAAUCAGUGGCGGCGCCUCCGAGGCCCUGAGCGCAGUAAAUAUCCUCGCUAUAGGGACCCGGUGGCUACUGGCCAGCAACCCCAACUUUCCAAGUUUGACCUCGGAUCAGGUAGGGAUACCCGCUGAACUUAAGCAUAUCAAUAAGCGGAGGA